This 81-nucleotide transfer RNA is filed under the name Aspergillus ruber CBS 135680. RNAcentral describes it as "tRNA-Ser (TGA) (tRNA-Ser-TGA-1-1)". It matches the Rfam family "tRNA". Rfam says of the family: Transfer RNA (tRNA) molecules are approximately 80 nucleotides in length. Their secondary structure includes four short double-helical elements and three loops (D, anti-codon, and T loops). Lineage: Eukaryota; Fungi; Ascomycota; Eurotiomycetes; Eurotiales; Aspergillaceae. The record is from RNAcentral.
GACACUUUGGCCGAGUGGUUAAGGCGUGUGACUUGAAAUCACAUACGUUCGCGUUCGCAGGUUCGAAUCCUGCAGGUGUCG